GUCUAUGGCCAUGCCACUCUGAACAAGCCCAAUCCUGUCUGAUCUCAGAAGCUAAGCAGAGUUGGGCCUGGUUAGCACUUGGAUGGGAGACCACCUAGGAGGACCAGGUGCUGUAGGAG
RNAcentral lists this ribosomal RNA (119 nucleotides) under Pteropus alecto (black flying fox). Lineage: Eukaryota; Metazoa; Chordata; Mammalia; Chiroptera; Pteropodidae. The record is from RNAcentral. RNAcentral also lists the same sequence under 1 other name.